RNAcentral lists this long non-coding RNA (705 nucleotides) under Hordeum vulgare. RNAcentral describes it as "long non-coding RNA (HVUL_LNC015113)". Lineage: Eukaryota; Viridiplantae; Streptophyta; Magnoliopsida; Poales; Poaceae. The record is from RNAcentral.
ACGUUCACACUUGCAGCUUUUGAUAUAUCGUGUGCUAUAGUGUGGUCUAGUAUCUUGUGACGUCCACCUACUUGUCGUGUGAUAUAGCUCAAGUAAGUUUGUGUAACUUACUUGUGCUUGUUAGUAACCGUGUUGUGUUCAUCUUGGUAGAUCGUGUUGUUGGUGCACGUUGCGGUGCCUAUUGCAUUUAGGAUUUGUGCUUGAAAAGUAUCCUCUUAGUUUAUUUCCACAUUAGGUUUAAGCCAAAUCCGAAGAAGUUUUUAAAUAGCCUAUUCACCCCCUCUAGGCGUCAUCGUGGUCCUUUCAAUUGGUAUCAGAGCAAGGUCUCUCUUUAAUUAGGUUUCACGACCUAGAGAGUAUCGAUGUCGACUAUUGGAUUAGUGCACAAUGACACCUUUGACUUUGAUGGCACAAAUUAUACCCUAUGGAGAAUUCGUAUGCUUCAUCACUUUCGGGCCAUGGGCCCAAAUACUUUACGAAUUGUUCUUGUAGGGAUUUCCGACAAAAAAGAUGAUGCAUCUUCAUGUACUAAUGAAAUGUAUCUUGAUUGUGAGGCUUUUCUUGCUAUUCAUCGAACCAUAAGUCCUGAAGUGUUUAAGUUUAUCUCGACUUGCAAGUCAGCUCAUGAAGUUUGGACUAAACUUGAAGAUGUAUAUGGUGGGUCCAAUCUCGAUGAAGACGAUAUUAUGAUGAAGGAGUUGGUGC